GAUUCUGGCUCAGGAUGAACGCUAGCUACAGGCUUAACACAUGCAAGUCGAGGGGCAGCGGGAAGUUAGCUUGCUAACUUGCCGGCGACCGGCGCACGGGUGAGUAACGCGUAUCCAACCUUCCCCUUAGUAGGGCAUAGCCCGAUGAAAAUCGGAUUAAUACCCUAUGUUCUUCAUAGAUGACAUCUGACAUGAAGCAAAGAUUUAUCGCUAAGGGAUGGGGAUGCGUCCGAUUAGGUAGUCGGCGGGGUAACGGCCCACCGAGCCAUCGAUCGGUAGGGGUUCUGAGAGGAAGGUCCCCCACAUUGGAACUGAGACACGGUCCAAACUCCUACGGGAGGCAGCAGUGAGGAAUAUUGGUCAAUGGGCGAGAGCCUGAACCAGCCAAGUAGCGUGCCAGGAUGACCGGCCCUAGUGGGUUAGUAAACUGUCUUUUAUGCGGGGAUAAAGUUCGCCACGUGUGGCGUUUUGUAGGUACCGCAUGAAUAAGGACCGGCUAAUUCCGUGCCAGCAGCUGC
This 518-nucleotide ribosomal RNA is filed under the name uncultured bacterium. Its description in RNAcentral is "bacterial SSU rRNA". It matches the Rfam family "Bacterial small subunit ribosomal RNA", at positions 15 to 518 of the family's 1533-position model. The record is from RNAcentral.